UGGUGCUUGCAUCAUGAAUUACAUUUGAGUGAGUGGCGAACUGGUGAGUAACACGUGGGAAACCUGCCCAGAAGCGGGGGAUAACACCUGGAAACAGAUGCUAAUACCGCAUAACAACUUGGACCGCAUGGUCCGAGCUUGAAAGAUGGCUUCGGCUAUCACUUUUGGAUGGUCCCGCGGCGUAUUAGCUAGAUGGUGAGGUAACGGCUCACCAUGGCAAUGAUACGUAGCCAACCUGAGAGGGUAAUCGGCCACAUUGGGACUGAGACACGGCCCAAACUCCUACGGGAGGCAGCAGUAGGGAAUCUUCCACAAUGGACGAAAGUCUGAUGGAGCAACGCCGCGUGAGUGAAGAAGGGUUUCGGCUCGUAAAACUCUGUUGUUAAAGAAGAACAUAUCUAAGAGUAACUGUUCAGGUAUUGACGGUAUUUAACCAGAAAGCCACGGCUAACUACGUGCCAGCAGCCGCGGUAAUACGUAGGUGGCAAGCGUUGUCCGGAUUUAUUGGGCGUAAAGCGAGCGCAGGCGGUUUUUUAAGUCUGAUGUGAAAGCCUUCGGCUCAACCGAAGAAGUGCAUCGGAAACUGGGAAACUUGAGUGCAGAAGAGGACAGUGGAACUCCAUGUGUAGCGGUGAAAUGCGUAGAUAUAUGGAAGAACACCAGUGGCGAAGGCGGCUGUCUGGUCUGUAACUGACGCUAAGGCUCGAAAGUAUGGGUAGCAAACAGGAUUAGAUACCCUGGUAGUCCAUACCGUAAACGAUGAAUGCUAAGUGUUGGAGGGUUUCCGCCCUUCAGUGCUGCAGCUAACGCAUUAAGCAUUCCGCCUGGGGGAGUACGGCCGCAAGGCUGA
Molecule: ribosomal RNA, 850 nt
Filed under: Lactiplantibacillus plantarum
Lineage: Bacteria; Bacillati; Bacillota; Bacilli; Lactobacillales; Lactobacillaceae
Description: bacterial SSU rRNA
Rfam family: Bacterial small subunit ribosomal RNA
Source: RNAcentral